AAGUGCCGUUCAAAUAGGGCGGCACCUUGACGGUACCUAACCAGAAAGCCACGGCUAACUACGUGCCAGCAGCCGCGGUAAUACGUAGGUGGCAAGCGUUGUCCGGAAUUAUUGGGCGUAAAGGGCUCGCAGGCGGUUUCUUAAGUCUGAUGUGAAAGCCCCCGGCUCAACCGGGGAGGGUCAGUGGAAACUGGGGAACUUGAGUGCAGAAGAGGAGAGUGGAAUUCCACGUGUAGCGGUGAAAUGCGUAGAGAUGUGGAGGAACACCAGUGGCGAAGGCGACUCUCUGGUCUGUAACUGACGCUGAGGAGCGAAAGCGUGGGGAGCGAACAGGAUUAGAUACCCUGGUAGUCCACGCCGU
This 361-nucleotide ribosomal RNA is filed under the name Bacillus velezensis. RNAcentral's name for it is "bacterial SSU rRNA". It matches the Rfam family "Bacterial small subunit ribosomal RNA", at positions 451 to 803 of the family's 1533-position model. The record is from RNAcentral. Lineage: Bacteria; Bacillati; Bacillota; Bacilli; Caryophanales; Bacillaceae.